CAGCAGCCGCCACGGUAAUACGUAGGUGGCGAGCGUUGUCCGGAAUUAUUGGGCGUAAAGGGAGCGCAGGCGGACAUAUAAGUCCAUCUUAAAAGUGCGGGGCUCAACCCCGUGAGGGGAUGGAAACUGUAUGCCUUGAGUGCAGGAGAGGAAAGCGGAAUUCCCAGUGUAGCGGUGAAAUGCGUAGAUAUUGGGAGGAACACCAGUGGCGAAGGCGGCUUUCUGGACUGUAACUGACGCUGAGGCUCGAAAGCCAGGGGAGCGAACGGGAUUAGAUACCCGCGUAGUCCCUGUCUCUUAUACA
Molecule: ribosomal RNA, 304 nt
Filed under: uncultured bacterium
Lineage: Bacteria
Description: partial 16S ribosomal RNA
Rfam family: Bacterial small subunit ribosomal RNA
Source: RNAcentral